GACGAACGCUGGCGGCGUGCUUAACACAUGCCAGUCGAACGGAAAGGCCUCUUUCGGGGGGUACUCGAGUGGCGAACGGGUGAGUAACACGUGAAUAACCUGCCCUUGACUUUGGGAUAACUUCAGGAAACUGGGGCUAAUACCGGAUAGGAGCUCCUGCUGCAUGGUGGGGGUUGGAAAGUUUCGGCGGUUGGGGAUGGACUCGCGGCUUAUCAGCUUGUUGGUGGGGUAGUGGCUUACCAAGGCUUUGACGGGUAGCCGGCCUGAGAGGGUGACCGGCCACAUUGGGACUGAGAGACGGCCCAGACUCCUACGGGAGGCAGCAGUGGGGAAUAUUGCACAAUGGGUGGAAGCCUGAUGCAGCAACGCCGUGUGCGGGAUGACGGCCUUCGGGUUGUAAACCGCUUUCGCUCAUGACGAAGCUUUGCGUGACGGUAGUGGGUAAAGAAGCACCGGCUAACUACGUG
RNAcentral lists this ribosomal RNA (467 nucleotides) under uncultured bacterium. RNAcentral describes it as "partial 16S ribosomal RNA". It matches the Rfam family "Bacterial small subunit ribosomal RNA", at positions 28 to 507 of the family's 1533-position model. The record is from RNAcentral.